Homo sapiens (human) is the source of this 1052-nucleotide long non-coding RNA. RefSeq lists it as uncharacterized. NCBI's taxonomy places the organism in Eukaryota, Metazoa, Chordata, Mammalia, Primates, Hominidae. The transcript has 3 exons. The record is from RefSeq and is a predicted model, not a curated record.
CUCUUGCCUGCCACCAUGUAAGGCGUGUCUUUGCUCCUCCCUUGCCUCCUGCCAUGAUUGUGAGGCCUCCCCAGCCAUGUGGAACUGCCUGGCCAGAACUUCCAAAACUAUGUUGAAAAAGAGCCAAUAUAGCCAAGAUGAUCCUAAGCAAAAAGAACAAAGCUGGAGGCAUUAUGCUGUCUGACUUCAAAUUAUACUACAAGGAAGUCAGGGACUCUGAACGGAGGGACCAACUGGAGCUGCAGCAGAGGAACAUAAAUUGUGAAGAUUUCAUGGACAUUCACCAGUUUCCAAAUAAUACUCUUAUAAUUUCUUACACCUGUCUUAAUUUAAUCUCUUAAUCCUGUUAUCUUUGUAAGCUGAGGAUGUACAUCACCUCAGGACCACUGUGAUAAUUGUGUUAACUGUACAAAUUGAUUGUAAAACAUGUGUGUUUGAACAAUAUGAAAUCAGUUCACCUUGAAAAAGAACAGAAUAACAGCGAUUUUCAGGGAACAAGGGAAGACAACCAUAAGGUCUGACUGCCUGUGAGGUCGGGCAAAACAGAGCCAUAUUUUUCUUCGUGCAGACAGCCUAUAAAUGGACGUGUAAGUAGGGAAGAUAUUGAUAAAUUCUUUUCCUAGCAAGGAGUAUUAAUAAUUAAUACCGUGGGGAAGAAUGCAUUCCUGGCGGGAGGUCUAUAAACAGUUGCUCUGGGAGUGCCGGUCUUAAGUGGUUGAGAUAAGGACCAAAAUACGCCCUGGUCUCCUGCAGUACCCUCAGGCUUACUAGGUUGGAGAAAAACCUCGCCCUGGUAAAUUUGACAUCAGAUUGGUUCUCUGCUCUCAAACCCUGUUUUCUGUUGUUUAAGAUGUUUAUCAAGACAAUAUGUGCACAGCUGAACACAGACCCUUAUCAGUAGUUCUGUUUUGCCUUGUCCUGUUUCCUCAGAAGCAUGUGAUCUUUGUUCUGCUUUUUGCCCUUUGAAGCAUGUGAUCUUGUGACCCACUCCCUGUACUUGCACCCCCUCCCAUUUUGAAGUCCUUAAUAAAACUUGCUGGUUUUGCGGCUCA